CUUUGGUUCUAUUUUGUUGGUUUUAAGGACCAAUGUCAUGAUGAAUAGGGACAGUUGGGGGCAUUCGUAUUCCGAAGCUAGAGGUGAAAUUCUUGGAUUUUCGGAAGACGAACUACUGCGAAAGCAUUUGCCAAGGAUGUUCUCAUUAAUCAAGAACGAAAGUUAGGGGAUCGAAGACGAUUAGAUACCGUCGUAGUCUUAACCAUAAACGAUGCCGACUAGGGAUCAGUAAACAUCGAUUGUGAUUUUAUUGGCACCUUACGAGAAAUCAAAGUUUUUGGGUUCUGGGGGGAGUAUGGUCGCAAGAUUGAAACUUAAAGGAAUUGACGGAAGGGCACCACCAGGAGUGGAGCCUGCGGCUUAAUUUGACUCAACACGGGGAAACUCACC
RNAcentral lists this ribosomal RNA (390 nucleotides) under fungal sp. RNAcentral describes it as "SSU rRNA". It matches the Rfam family "Eukaryotic small subunit ribosomal RNA", at positions 828 to 1219 of the family's 1831-position model. The record is from RNAcentral. Lineage: Eukaryota; Fungi.